This is an RNA transcript of Columba livia (rock pigeon), 3764 nucleotides long. It is a transcript of the gene named alkB homolog 2, alpha-ketoglutarate dependent dioxygenase, with no coding region annotated. The record is from RefSeq and is a predicted model, not a curated record. The transcript is spliced from 5 exons. NCBI's taxonomy places the organism in Eukaryota, Metazoa, Chordata, Aves, Columbiformes, Columbidae.
CCUGGAGGAGGGAGGGGGGCGCACGCCCCGCCCAGGCGCACGCGCACCGCCCCGCUCUCCGCCUCGGCCGGGGGUUUCUCUCUCCAGUUCCCGCCCCGGCCCGCUGCCGGGAGGAGGCGCCCGCCGCUCUCGGUGCCUCCGAUGGACAGAUACGUGGUGAAACGUCCCGCCAGGGAGGCGGGAGGUGGCGGUGGGAAGAGGCCGCGGCCGGAGGAGCCCGCCUCAGGGGAACCCGCCGCAGGGGAACCCGCCUGGCAGGAGAUUCGCGCUGAGGGCCUGAACUGCGACUACCGGCUCCUCUUCGGCAGGGCCGAGGCUGAUGAGAUCUUCCAGCAGCUGGAAGAAGAGGUGGAGUACUUCGAAGGUGAAAUGACAAAAUUACACGUGUUUGGCAAAUGGCACAAUAUUCCAAGGAAGCAAGUAACCUAUGGAGACCCUGAGUUAACAUACACUUACUCAGGCGUUACCUUUUCGCCUAAGCCUUGGAUCCCCGUUCUCAGCCGUAUCAGAGACCGCAUCACUUUGGACACAGGAUAUACUUUUAACUUUGUUCUGAUUAACAGAUAUAAAGAUGGAGGGGACCACAUAGGUGAACAUCGAGAUGAUGAAAGGGAACUGGUUCCACGCAGUCCUAUUGCAUCCGUGUCCUUCGGAGCUUGCAGGGACUUUGUUUUCAGGCACUGUGAUUCCAGGGGGAAGAACGCAACACGCCACAUGAAGCCCAUCAAGCUGCAGCUUGCCCAUGGCAGCCUGCUGAUGAUGAAGUACCCCACCAACGUGUACUGGUACCACAGCCUGCCCAUCCGCAAGAAAGUACUCGCCCCAAGAAUCAACCUCACAUUUCGGAAAGUGAUGACUCUAGCCAAGAAGUGAAGUAUUCAGCAAUUAAGCAGCAGGUCUUUUGACUCUGAAAAUAGCAGCUUUCUUCCCUGACAUAACUCAAUUUCUCAUUCAAACGCUGUCUUUGAUGAUCCAGGGUACCAGAUGAGCAAAUUAAACCAAGAGAGGAGAUAGUGUACUUGGUAACUUGUUAAUAAAGACUGUGACUACUGAUCUUAAAUGCCAGGAAUACUUUGCCUCCGUGAACUGUUGCUGUAGUCCUGCUGAUACAUAUUUUUAAUGAGUAAUAUCCUUGUUUUGCUCAGGAGGAAGUUUCUUCCCAGCUGAUCUUACUCUAUCCAGUUUUCCAAAAAAGAUCAAGAUACCUUAUAUCUUUGAGAUAGCACAAAAAUUGUUUAGAAAUACUAUGAACUACAAGACGUAAUCAUUUAGAGGGGAGCCUCGAAGCUGACACUGUUCAACAGGGAUUCCAUUUGGACUCCCCAAAAGCCAUCACCUUCUGUGCUGACAGUGAACCCUGCAGACAUGAGGAACAACCGUCCAAAGUCACCAAUGGGUCUUGGGGAAUCAAGCAGGGGUCUUGGGAAGCAGUUCAGCAGCAAGAAAGUGCCGCUAGUCCCAACGUAAUUGUGUGUGUCCAACGUAACGAGGAUGCUGGGGUUGCUGUACAGCUCAGCUCACAAUCACGACCGGUACAAGCUCUAAAGCUCGACUGUAAGCUCAAGUGUUGGAAUGGCUGAUGAGAAAUGGUAGUUUUCAGCAUUAAAAUAGGAAGGGCGAGUCUAGAACACAAAUAACAGUAGCCUUGAAAUCACAGCAUUAAAAGUUGUAGUCGAUCCUACAAGCAACCAUACUCAACAGUUUCAUAGUGACAAAGGAAAUGACAAUACUGAUUGGGAGGCAAACACUUCUGGCUCUUCAUUUCAGAUCUGUUCCAAAGACAGAGCAAUAAAUUGGGGUCUCGGCUCUUAAUAGAUAAAAAAAGGAAACCACUUUGAAUCAGCAGAAGUACUUUUGUGAUGUAUAAAGAACUAAAAUAUUAGGGAAAAUAUCAGGGAAAUCAUGUGAACAGGGAAGUUGUUUUUUGGAUCGUGCAUGCAGAGAAGCCUUAUUUGUUGAUUAGCUGGGAUACCAAGAGAAAUCCGAUUCUGUUAGUAGUUCAUCCCAUCAUCUUGAGGCAUUUAUCAGAACGUAAUGGACACACAGUGAACUCAGACAAUGGUGAUGUAGCUCUCUGAAUAAGCUCAAGGCACUUUGUUUCUUAAAUCAUUGCCUUUGAUAACAGCAGCUUCCCAGUGACUGCUUCUAGGGCUCCCCUGUUCAGAAAGGUCUGCAGUGAAAUGCGUAUAAAGCAUCUCCCUUUGAAAAUUUAUGUAUGCAUCAGAAUAUGGAAAAUACCCUUAGGAAGUCUGUGUGAAAAGUCUGUUUCAGAGCCGUGAUGUUGACAACAUUACUACUUAACAGAAUGAACGCUCCUUUAAUGCAGAUAUACUUCGGACUGCACAACGUUAGCAGACCAACUUUGGGCAGCGUAAUUUUGGUACAAAACACUCCCAGCAGGAGCCAGCCAUUGCCAGAGGGAGGGGGACGUUAAAGGGCCUGUGGUGGGUUACUUGCAUAAUGGACAGGAGGUGCAACGUAGAUCUCAUUAGAGGAAUUUUGUCAGUUUUUGUCCUUCUUCUGCUCUCAUCAUCACUCUUCAGCCCUCAGCUCCAAGCUUUGGUGCUGCGCCCUUGAGUGAACACGCUCGUAGAAAAGCAAGUAAGCGCUAGAAGAAAGGACCUCCUGCAAGCUGGCUUUGCGAACGGUGUCAUCCGAAAUCCACAGCCACUGGCUGCUGACGGCCAGCGGGUGCUUCGCAGAAGGCGGCGAGCGGCGGUACGUUACAAAGUGUCCCGAGUGCAUGUCUCCGUGGUGAACCACGACUGCCAUCAGACGGUAGAGGUACACGGGGGAACUGGAGGACAAAUGAGAAGGGAGAGGGUCAGCAGCCCUUGGGGAUCGCAUGUCCCAGAAACAGCCCCACUUGCUCCAUCUUCAGCUGCAAUUUAUUUUUAAAGCAGCUACUAUGCAGCCUCAUAAUAAAGACAGAAUAAAGCAAGACAUAAUUUGAAGGGACAGAAAUUCCAUGGUAGGGUACAAAACUUACCUGUACUCAGGGAAUGCAGCAAGUGGGAAAGUUCCCGAGGACGUUAAAAAUGAAGAGGAGCAGGCACCAUUCAUGAAGAGUGGCUUAGGACCAGACGGCUGUUCUGCAUCUGCAAGAGGAAGCAGACAUUCAGUAAUUUAACUCAAAUGCUAAUGACAGAGCUUCUGUUCCAGCAGUACCUUUCAUCACAGAAUUGGAAGGUAUUUUCCUUAUUUUAAUUCAUUAUAUAUCACAAUCACUUAAGAGAUGCAGAGGAGUAUAAUAUCCAAAGACAGUAGUAAUUGCUUUUACAUGACACAAAUUUGAAAAGGACUGUGUUUACAAAAUCCCAACUAAAUAGAAUAUUGAGCUGCCUAAAUGACAGACCCACUACAGCUACUUUUUCUGACCGGUUUUUAAGAAGACACCAUUCCCACAUUCUUUUCAUGCUUGCCCUGAAGCCUUAGAAGAGAUCACGAACAAGAUAAUCCCCAGGACUUCCCAAGUUCAACAUUCCUGCAUCCUUUGGACAUAAAAUGUGCGAGUUCUAUGCUAUCUGGGACUUGUUUGUUUGUAAGCUUUUUUUUUUUUUAAAUAUUUAGUAGGAUCAAAUGGAACUAUUAAAAGUGAACUGUAAACUUGGACCAGGGUGUCCUAAUGCUUGCUGCAAAAGGGGUUUCUACCCGUCUUUUUUGCGCAGAUUCACAUACAGAUACAGCUCUUAUGUUUAUUCUGUGAUUAGAAUGUUUUAUCAUUGAAACAUAGAAAUGAUGAAUAAAUUUUAUUUUCAAAAUAA